RNAcentral lists this ribosomal RNA (483 nucleotides) under uncultured bacterium. RNAcentral describes it as "bacterial SSU rRNA". It matches the Rfam family "Bacterial small subunit ribosomal RNA", at positions 30 to 507 of the family's 1533-position model. The record is from RNAcentral.
AUUGAACGCUGGCGGCAUGCCUUACACAUGCAAGUCGAACGGCAGCACGGGAGCAAUCCUGGUGGCGAGUGGCGAACGGGUGAGUAAUAUAUCGGAACGUGCCCAGUCGUGGGGAUAACGUAGCGAAAGCUACGCUAAUACCGCAUACGAUCUAUGGAUGAAAGCGGGGGAUCGCAAGACCUCGCGCGAUUGGAGCGGCCGAUAUCAGAUUAGGUAGUUGGUGAGGUAAAGGCUCACCAAGCCGACGAUCUGUAGCUGGUCUGAGAGGACGACCAGCCACACUGGGACUGAGACACGGCCCAGACUCCUACGGGAGGCAGCAGUGGGGAAUUUUGGACAAUGGACGCAAGUCUGAUCCAGCCAUUCCGCGUGCAGGAUGAAGGCCCUCGGGUUGUAAACUGCUUUUGUACGGAACGAAACGGUGAGCUCUAAUACAGUUUGCUAAUGACGGUACCGUAAGAAUAAGCACCGGCUAACUACGUG